This 253-nucleotide unclassified non-coding RNA is filed under the name uncultured Gammaproteobacteria bacterium. RNAcentral's name for it is "contains 16S-23S intergenic spacer region". It matches the Rfam family "Bacterial small subunit ribosomal RNA", at positions 524 to 776 of the family's 1533-position model. The record is from RNAcentral. Lineage: Bacteria; Pseudomonadati; Pseudomonadota; Gammaproteobacteria.
UACGGAGGGUGCGAGCGUUAAUCGGAAUUACUGGGCGUAAAGGGCACGUAGGUGGUUUGGUAAGCAGGAUGUGAAAUCCCCGGGCUCAACCUGGGAACUGCACCCUGAACUGCCUGACUAGAGUACAGUAGAGGGUAGUGGAAUUCCUGGUGUAGCAGUGAAAUGCGUAGAUAUCAGGAGGAACACCGAUGGCGAAGGCAGCUACCUGGACUGAUACUGACACUGAGGUGCGAAAGCGUGGGGAGCAAACAGG